This is a non-coding RNA of Paramormyrops kingsleyae, 232 nucleotides long. NCBI's taxonomy places the organism in Eukaryota, Metazoa, Chordata, Actinopteri, Osteoglossiformes, Mormyridae. The record is from RefSeq and is a predicted model, not a curated record.
AGCAGCCGUGGUGUGAGUGCGCAGGAGGUUGACUGUCACAUUCGUUCUCAUCCCUUAACCAUUGAUGUGGUAUGUUGGGGAUCGCGCGGUCGGUGUAAUGCACGCCUUUGGGGAACUGUGUCCUGUUGCCGUUGGGGAGGUGGUGAAGGCAGCCCCAGCAGUGUUAUAAGUCCUCAGGCUGGUGGGGGCUCAUGGGGGUAGCCCAGCGUGGAACCUUGGUGCGUAGAGCUUC